Molecule: ribosomal RNA, 1012 nt
Filed under: Glycera tesselata
Lineage: Eukaryota; Metazoa; Annelida; Polychaeta; Phyllodocida; Glyceridae
Description: 16S ribosomal RNA
Rfam family: Bacterial large subunit ribosomal RNA
Source: RNAcentral
AACCCGAAAUAUGGCGAGUUGUCCUUAAAUUGUUUAGAACCCACUAAAUUCUGUUGCAUUAGAAUUAAAAAAUUUAUGGGCAGCGGCUACAUACCAACCGCGCUAUAUUAUAGCUGGUUUCUUUUUAAAGUUAUAUUAGUAACAAAAAUAUAACAUUAUUCUAAUAUAUAAAGGAAAAGCUUUAUAUAAAACCCUAUCACUAUAAAAUAAAAAAUUUAAAGUAGGCCUAAAAAUAGCCCCCUAAAAAAAUGUUAUAAUUACACUUCCUAAAUAAUUUUUUCCUGAUGAAAAUUAAAAAGAAAGAUAUAAAAAUUAAAUUUAUAUUUAUAUAAUGUUAAAAUUAGUAUUAGUAAAUAAAUAUAAUAAAGUUUAUUCAUAUAUAGUAAAGGAACUCGGCAAAUACAUAUUUCGACUGUUUAUCAAAAACAUAGCCUUAUGAUAUUAAAAUAUAAGGUAUACCCUGCCCGGUGAAUUUUUAACGGCCGCAGUACUCUGACUGUGCAAAGGUAGCAUAAUCACUUGCCUUUUAAUUGAAGGCUGGAAUGAAUGGGCCCACGAAAAUAAAGCUGUCUCUACUAUACUUAUAUAAAUUAGAACUUAGGUGAAAAUACCUAAAUAUAAAUAAAGGACAAAAAGACCCUAUAGAGCUUCAUUCAAAUUAAUUCAUAGUAUAUCACAUAUACUAUUUACUAUAUAUGAAUUUUGUUGGGGCAACAAAGGAACAGACAAAGCUUCCUUUAUUUUAAAAGAUUAACAAAUCUAUUUAUUGAUCCUAUAAUGAUCGAAGGAAAUAGCUACCUUAGGGAUAACAGACUAAUCUCCUUAGAGAGUUCACAUUGACAAGGAGGGUUGGCACCUCGAUGUUGGCUUAAGGUAUCCUUUAGGUGCAGAAGCCUAAAAAGGUUGGUUUGUUCAACCAUUAAAACCUUACAUGAGCUGAGUUCAGACCGGCGUAAGCCAGGUUAGAUUCUAUCCUUAUUUUAAAAUUUACUAAGUAGUACGAAAGGAUCCU